AAUAGAUGACGCCGUUGACUUUUUCUCACAUGUUUGACCAUUCGUCUUAUUCAAAAAAUUUACGUAAUUAUACUUUAUUUUGUAUGAGUUGUUUUAUUACUCAUAGUAUUGUAAGUGUGAUUUAUAUCUUAUAUAUUUAUAAAAAAAAUUGAAUAAGACGAAUGGUCAAAUAUGUGAGAAAAAGUCAACGGCGUCAUCUAUA
Molecule: microRNA precursor, 202 nt
Filed under: Oryza glumipatula
Lineage: Eukaryota; Viridiplantae; Streptophyta; Magnoliopsida; Poales; Poaceae
Description: MIR812 microRNA precursor family
Rfam family: MIR812 microRNA precursor family
Source: Rfam by way of RNAcentral